RNAcentral lists this small nuclear RNA (107 nucleotides) under Suricata suricatta (meerkat). The record is from RNAcentral. Lineage: Eukaryota; Metazoa; Chordata; Mammalia; Carnivora; Herpestidae.
GUGCUCACUUCAGCAGCACAUAUACUAAAACUGGAACAAUACAGAGAAGAUUGGCAUGGCCCCUGCACAAGGAUGACACACAAAUUCGUGAAGCGUUCCAUAUUAAA